ACUAAAUCUGUGUGUGUUUUUCAUCGCUGAACCCAUUUUUCACUGAAACUUCAUCGCAUUGCAUCACAUGCAUACCGAACCCAUUUUUCAAUCAACUCUGAACUUCAUCGCUUUCAAUCAACUAGUUUCAGCGAAGUUUAAUUUCAGGAAGUGUAUCGCGUUGCUUCUGUGAAUCCUUUCUCAUUCGCUCAACUUCGCUUCGCUUCUGUGACGAUUGAAAAGGGCUUCGCUCAUUCGCUCUCUUCUUCUCCAACACCGCACCGCUCAUUUGCUCACUGAAACUGAGAGGAAUCCAUUUCGCAGUGACGACAAACGAAGCUGAGAGGAAACCAUUUCAUAGUGACGACAUUGAUAGCUGGAACUGAUAAAUUUGCCAAAGUGAUAGAGUUUCUUCGCAGACAGCUCCACAGGGAGACAUUGUUUGUAUAUGUCAAGAGUGCUUUUUCACCAAACCCUGAUGAACUUGUCAUUGAUUUGUAUAAUUGGUGCUGCUGAGACGU
Long non-coding RNA from Vicia villosa (hairy vetch), 500 nucleotides. RefSeq lists it as uncharacterized. Lineage: Eukaryota; Viridiplantae; Streptophyta; Magnoliopsida; Fabales; Fabaceae. The record is from RefSeq and is a predicted model, not a curated record. The transcript is spliced from 4 exons.